Molecule: long non-coding RNA, 197 nt
Organism: Asparagus officinalis (garden asparagus)
Lineage: Eukaryota; Viridiplantae; Streptophyta; Magnoliopsida; Asparagales; Asparagaceae
Exons: 3
Source: RefSeq, a predicted model, not a curated record
AAAAAAUGUAGUCUUUGCAAACAACCGGGACAUACUCGACCUCGUUGUCCAUCUAGACACAAUAGAUAGCAACUAAUUGGUUUGUACACCAUGGAUCCUGGGCCGGUUAGUGAUGAGGUCUUAUAUGACCAGGCUCAGCAUCGUUCACAUAUUAUAUCCUGUACAGAGAGAGGUCCGAGUAUCGUUAUGGUUGAUCA